UACGGAGGGUGCAAGCGUUAUUCGGAAUCACUGGGCGUAAAGAGCGCGUAGGCGGUUUCUAAAGUCAGAUGUGAAAGCCCGGGGCUCAACCCCGGAAGUGCAUUUGAAACUUAGGGACUUGAGUAUGGGAGAGGGAAGUGGAAUUCCUGGUGUAGCGGUGAAAUGCGUAGAUAUCAGGAGGAACACCGGUGGCGAAGGCGACUUCCUGGACCAAUACUGACGCUGAGGCGCGAAGGCGUGGGGAGCAAACAGG
Molecule: non-coding RNA, 253 nt
Filed under: uncultured bacterium
Lineage: Bacteria
Also listed under: 1 other name
Description: partial 16S ribosomal RNA
Rfam family: Bacterial small subunit ribosomal RNA
Source: RNAcentral